RNAcentral lists this ribosomal RNA (434 nucleotides) under uncultured Lachnospiraceae bacterium. Its description in RNAcentral is "bacterial SSU rRNA". It matches the Rfam family "Bacterial small subunit ribosomal RNA", at positions 341 to 792 of the family's 1533-position model. The record is from RNAcentral. Lineage: Bacteria; Bacillati; Bacillota; Clostridia; Lachnospirales; Lachnospiraceae.
ACGGGAGGCAGCAGUGGGGAAUAUUGGGCAAUGGGGGGAACCCUGAUGCAGCGACGCCGCGUGAGUGAAGAAGUAUUUCGGUAUGUAAAGCUCUAUCAGCAGGGAAGAGAAUGACGGUACCUGACUAAGAAGCACCGGCUAAAUACGUGCCAGCAGCCGCGGUAAUACGUAUGGUGCAAGCGUUAUCCGGAUUUACUGGGUGUAAAGGGAGCGCAGGUGGCCUGGCAAGCCAGAAGUGAAAGCCCGGGGCUUAACCCCGGGACUGCUUUUGGAACUGUUGGGCUGGAGUGCAGGAGGGGCAAGCGGAAUUCCUGGUGUAGCGGUGAAAUGCGUAGAUAUCAGGAGGAACACCGGUGGCGAAGGCGGCUUGCUGGACUGUAACUGACACUGAGGCUCGAAAGCGUGGGGAGCAAACAGGAUUAGAUACCCUGGUA